This 504-nucleotide ribosomal RNA is filed under the name uncultured Gammaproteobacteria bacterium. RNAcentral's name for it is "bacterial SSU rRNA". It matches the Rfam family "Bacterial small subunit ribosomal RNA", at positions 38 to 529 of the family's 1533-position model. Lineage: Bacteria; Pseudomonadati; Pseudomonadota; Gammaproteobacteria. The record is from RNAcentral.
GGCGGCAUGCCUAACACAUGCAAGUCGAGCGGCAGCAUGAUGUGUAGCAAUACACAUUGAUGGCGAGCGGCGGACGGGUGAGUAAUGUAUGGGGAUCUGCCCAGUAGCGGGGGACAACCCGGAGAAAUCCGGGCUAAUACCGCAUACGCCCUACGGGGGAAAGCGGAGGACCGAAAGGCUUCGCACUAUUGGAGGAACCCAUACCCGAUUAGCUAGUUGGUGAGGUAACGGCUCACCAAGGCAACGAUCGGUAGCUGGUCUGAGAGGACGAUCAGCCACACCGGAACUGAGACACGGUCCGGACUCCUACGGGAGGCAGCAGUGGGGAAUAUUGGACAAUGGGGGAAACCCUGAUCCAGCAAUGCCGCGUGGGUGAAGAAGGCCUGCGGGUUGUAAAGCCCUUUCGGUGAGGACAAAAAGCGCCGUGCUAAUACCAUGGUGUUUUGAUUUAACUCAUUAAAGAAGCACCGGCUAACUCUGUGCCAGCAGCCGCGGUAAUACAGA